Molecule: ribosomal RNA, 896 nt
Filed under: uncultured bacterium
Lineage: Bacteria
Description: bacterial SSU rRNA
Rfam family: Bacterial small subunit ribosomal RNA
Source: RNAcentral
AGAGUUUGAUCCUGGCUCAGGAUGAACGCUGGCGGCGUGCUUAACACAUGCAAGUCGAACGAUGAUCCCAGCUUGCUGGGGGAUUAGUGGCGAACGGGUGAGUAACACGUGAGUAACCUGCCCUUGACUCUGGGAUAAGCCUGGGAAACUGGGUCUAAUACCGGAUACGACCAUCUGGCGCAUGUCAUGGUGGUGGAAAGCUUUUGUGGUUUUGGAUGGACUCGCGGCCUAUCAGCUUGUUGGUGGGGUAAUGGCCUACCAAGGCGACGACGGGUAGCCGGCCUGAGAGGGUGACCGGCCACACUGGGACUGAGACACGGCCCAGACUCCUACGGGAGGCAGCAGUGGGGAAUAUUGCACAAUGGGCGCAAGCCUGAUGCAGCGACGCCGCGUGAGGGAUGACGGCCUUCGGGUUGUAAACCUCUUUCAGUACAGACGAAGCGUAAGUGACGGUAUGUACAGAAGAAGCACCGGCCAACUACGUGCCAGCAGCCGCGGUAAUACGUAGGGUGCGAGCGUUGUCCGGAAUUACUGGGCGUAAAGAGCUCGUAGGUGGUUUGUCGCGUUGUUCGUGAAAACCGGAGGCUCAACCUCUGGCGUGCGGGCGAUACGGGCAGACUUGAGUACUGCAGGGGAGACUGGAAUUCCUGGUGUAGCGGUGGAAUGCGCAGAUAUCAGGAGGAACACCGGUGGCGAAGGCGGGUCUCUGGGCAGUAACUGACGCUGAGGAGCGAAAGCGUGGGGAGCGAACAGGAUUAGAUACCCUGGUAGUCCACGCCGUAAACGGUGGGUACUAGGUGUGGGUUUCCUUCCUUGGGAUCCGUGCCGUAGCUAACGCAUUAAGUACCCCGCCUGGGGAGUACGGCCGCAAGGCUAAAACUCAAAGGAAUUGACGG